UGGAGAGUUUGAUCCUGGCUCAGGACGAACGCUGGCGGCGUGCUUAACACAUGCAAGUCGAGCGGUAAGGCCCUUCGGGGUACACGAGCGGCGAACGGGUGAGUAACACGUGGGUGAUCUGCCUCGUACUCUGGGAUAAGCCUGGGAAACUGGGUCUAAUACCGGAUAUGACCACGAGUCGCAUGGUUUGUGGUGGAAAGAUUUAUCGGUGCGAGAUGGGCCCGCGGCCUAUCAGCUUGUUGGUGGGGUAAUGGCCUACCAAGGCGACGACGGGUAGCCGGCCUGAGAGGGCGACCGGCCACACUGGGACUGAGACACGGCCCAGACUCCUACGGGAGGCAGCAGUGGGGAAUAUUGCACAAUGGGCGGAAGCCUGAUGCAGCGACGCCGCGUGCGGGAUGACGGCCUUCGGGUUGUAAACCGCUUUCGACAGGGACGAAGCGUGAGUGACGGUACCUGUAGAAGAAGCACCGGCCAACUACGUGCCAGCAGCCGCGGUA
Molecule: ribosomal RNA, 500 nt
Filed under: Nocardia transvalensis
Lineage: Bacteria; Bacillati; Actinomycetota; Actinomycetes; Mycobacteriales; Nocardiaceae
Description: bacterial SSU rRNA
Rfam family: Bacterial small subunit ribosomal RNA
Source: RNAcentral